CUGGCGGCAGGCCUAACACAUGCAAGUCGAGCGCGCCUUCGGGUGAGCGGCGGACGGGUUAGUAACGCGUGGGAACGUGCCCUUCUCUACGGAAUAGCCUCUGGAAACGGAGAGUAAUACCGUAUACGCCCUUUGGGGGAAAGAUUUAUCGGAGAAGGAUCGGCCCGCGUUAGAUUAGGUAGUUGGUGGGGUAACGGCCUACCAAGCCUACGAUCUAUAGCUGGUUUUAGAGGAUGAUCAGCAACACUGGGACUGAGACACGGCCCAGACUCCUACGGGAGGCAGCAGUGGGGAAUCUUAGACAAUGGGGGCAACCCUGAUCUAGCCAUGCCGCGUGAGUGAUGAAGGCCUUAGGGUCGUAAAGCUCUUUCGCCUGUGAUGAUAAUGACAGUAGCAGGUAAAGAAACCCCGGCUAACUCCGUGCCAGCAGCCGCGGUAAUACGGAGGGGGUUAGCGUUGUUCGGAAUUACUGGGCGUAAAGCGCGCGUAGGCGGAUUAGAAAGUUGGGGGUGAAAUCCCGGGGCUCAACCUCGGAACUGCCUCCAAAACUGCUAGUCUAGAGUUCGAGAGAGGUGAGUGGAAUUCCGAGUGUAGAGGUGAAAUUCGUAGAUAUUCGGAGGAACACCAGUGGCGAAGGCGGCUCACUGGCUCGAUACUGACGCUGAGGUGCGAAAGUGUGGGGAGCAAACAGGAUUAGAUACCCUGGUAGUUCACACCGUAAACGAUGAAUGCCAGUCGUCGGGUAGUAUACUAUUCGGUGACACACCUAACGGAUUAAGCAUUCCGCCUGGGGAGUACGGUCGCAAG
RNAcentral lists this ribosomal RNA (807 nucleotides) under uncultured marine bacterium. Its description in RNAcentral is "bacterial SSU rRNA". It matches the Rfam family "Bacterial small subunit ribosomal RNA", at positions 36 to 892 of the family's 1533-position model. The record is from RNAcentral.